RNAcentral lists this ribosomal RNA (254 nucleotides) under uncultured bacterium. RNAcentral describes it as "partial 16S ribosomal RNA". It matches the Rfam family "Bacterial small subunit ribosomal RNA", at positions 524 to 776 of the family's 1533-position model. The record is from RNAcentral.
UACGGAGGGUGCAAGCGUUGUUCGGAAUUAUUGGGCGUAAAGCGCGCGCAGGCGGUCUGGAAAGUCUAUGGGUGAAAUACCGGGGCUCAACCCCGUGUAUGCCCAGGAUACUGCCAGACUGGAGACACGUAGAGGCAAGCGGAAUUUCGGGUGUAGCGGUGGAAUGCGUAGAUAUCCGAAAGAACACCGGAGGCGAAGGCGGCUUGCUGGGCGUGAUCUGACGCUGAGGCGCGAAAGCGUGGGGAGCGAACAGG